This 253-nucleotide ribosomal RNA is filed under the name uncultured bacterium. RNAcentral describes it as "partial 16S ribosomal RNA". It matches the Rfam family "Bacterial small subunit ribosomal RNA", at positions 524 to 776 of the family's 1533-position model. The record is from RNAcentral.
UACGGAGGGGGCUAGCGUUGCUCGGAAUUACUGGGCGUAAAGCGCACGUAGGCGGCUUUGUAAGUUAGAGGUGAAAGCCCGGGGCUCAACUCCGGAACUGCCUUUAAGACUGCAUCGCUAGAAUUGUGGAGAGGUGAGUGGAAUUCCGAGUGUAGAGGUGAAAUUCGUAGAUAUUCGGAAGAACACCAGUGGCGAAGGCGACUCACUGGACACAUAUUGACGCUGAGGUGCGAAAGCGUGGGGAGCAAACAGG